AAGUCGGGCGAUGAGGCUCCUUCGGGGGUACAUCAGCGGCAGACGGGUGAGUAACACGUAGGUGACCUACCCUCGAGACGGGGAUAACGGCUGGAAACAGUCGCUAAUACCCGAUAGACUUACCAGGUCAAAGCGGUAAGAAAAGCUACGGUGCUUGGGGAGGGGCCUGCGGCCCAUCAGCUAGUUGGUAGGGUAACGGCCUACCAAGGCGAAGACGGGUAGGGGGUGUGAGAGCACGAGCCCCCACAAUGGGACUGCGACACGGCCCAUACUCCUACGGGAGGCAGCAGCAGGGAAUAUUGCACAAUGGACGGAAGUCUGAUGCAGCGACGCCGCGUGAGUGAAGACGGCCUUCGGGUUGUAAAGCUCUUUUACGGGGGACGAGGAAGGACGGUACCCUGGGAAGAAGUGUCGGCUAACUACGUGCCAGCAGCCGCGGUAAGACGUAGGACACAAGCGUUAUCCGGAGUUACUGGGCGUAAAGCGCCUGCAGGCGGCCCUGGUAAGUUGGACGUGAAAGCCCCGUGCUUAACGCGGGGAGGUCGGACAAUACUGCCAAGCUAGAGUGCGUCAGAGGGGAGUGGAAUUUCCGGAGUAGCGGUCACAAUGCGCAGAUAUCGGAAGGAACACCAGUGGCGAAAGCGACUCCCUGGGGCGCGACUGACGCUAAGAGGGCGAAAGCUAGGGGAGCGAACAGGAUUAGAGACCCUGGUAGUCCUAGCCCUAAACGAUGGAUGCUAGGUGUGGGACGUAAAGUUCCGUGCCGGAGCCAACGCGAUAAGCAUCCCGCCUGGGGACUACGGUCGCAAGGCUAAAACUCAAACGAAUUGACGGGGACCCGCGCAAGCAGCGGAGCGUGUGGUUCAAUUCGAUGCUACACGAAGAACCUUACCUGGGUUUGACAUGUACGUGGUAGAGAAGCGAAAGCGGAUUGACCCUUCGGGGAGCGUACACAGGUGCUGCAUGGCUGUCGUCAGCUCGUGCCGUGAGGUGUCGGGUUAAGUCCCGUAACGAGCGCAACCCUUAUCCUUAGUUGCACGUAUCUAGGGAGACUGCCGGCGGGAAGCCGGAGGAAGGUGGGGAUGACGUCAAGUCAGCAUGGCCCUUAUGUCCAGGGCUACACACACGCUACAAUGGCCGGUACAGAGGGCAGCAAAGUCGCGAGGCGGAGCGAGUCCCAACAAAGCCGGUCGUAGUUCGGAUUGCAGGCUGCAACUCGCCUGCAUGAAGCUGGAGUUGCUAGUAACCGCGCGUCAGCUAUAGUGCGGUGAAUACGUACCCGGGUCUUGUACACACCGCCCGUCACGUCAUGGAAGUCGGUAACGCCUGAAGGCGGUAGCCUA
This 1343-nucleotide ribosomal RNA is filed under the name uncultured organism. Its description in RNAcentral is "bacterial SSU rRNA". It matches the Rfam family "Bacterial small subunit ribosomal RNA", at positions 59 to 1437 of the family's 1533-position model. The record is from RNAcentral.